Long non-coding RNA from Neodiprion fabricii, 670 nucleotides. RefSeq lists it as uncharacterized. Lineage: Eukaryota; Metazoa; Arthropoda; Insecta; Hymenoptera; Diprionidae. The record is from RefSeq and is a predicted model, not a curated record. The transcript has 3 exons.
GGCCAAAGUCGAUCACGAGGAUCGGCCGGAAAGUCUUAAGCCACCGGAAGUCGAAGAUGUUGCUCUCGGUGACCUCUUGGAUCCUGGUAGCGCCAAGAUUCGACGAUUCUGACUCGUAGUAGGCGUACUCAGUGAACAUCCGACGCGUCGAUCACCCACCGACACUUUAUAGGCACCUCGAACGGCCCCGGAAAAUUUGGCGUCAGUAUCACCCCCCUGGAGGCUGUCAGCCGGCCCCCGCAGGACGAAUCGGACCUCGAUUCAACCACCUUGACGAGGAGGCAGAGACGGCACACUUCCAAAACCAACGGCCAGAUAUACUUAUUGUACAUUUUAACUCUACCUCCUGGCCUGCCUCCCUCCACCCAAACCUGGACACAAUUUUCAAGAUCAAAGUGUUACGGCUUCCAAUUGUAUGUAGACGGAUCUUUUUUCGCAGCAUUAAACGAACUCCGCCUUAGAAAUUGAAAUGAUCAGGGAAUACUCAUGAUUGGGUAAUCUGAAUAACAUAUUGUGCAAUGUGGCUAAAAUAAAAACCAGCAGCAGUGCAUAUCACAUGGAAAGAAAAGACGCGAAUUCUCGAUAAAAUAAAAAUUGUUCAUCAGACAUUCUAAGAAAAGAAGAAAUACGUUAAAAACUGGCUCAUAAAGUGUAAAAAUUAAAUUAGUUG